AUCCAAAUGAUGAGUCCCAAACAGGACGAAAUACGCACCCUGGAG
This 45-nucleotide non-coding RNA is filed under the name Trichobilharzia regenti. The record is from RNAcentral. Lineage: Eukaryota; Metazoa; Platyhelminthes; Trematoda; Strigeidida; Schistosomatidae.